This 859-nucleotide long non-coding RNA is filed under the name Sorghum bicolor (sorghum). RNAcentral describes it as "long non-coding RNA (SBIC_LNC012733)". Lineage: Eukaryota; Viridiplantae; Streptophyta; Magnoliopsida; Poales; Poaceae. The record is from RNAcentral.
UCGAACGGUUCCGACAUCCACCGUGAUUGCCUUCGGAUAUUUUGAGAUGUGCCCAUAAGGCCACCAGCCGACCCCUAUCGAAUGGAACUCAGGCAUCCACUUGGAUUUACCCGCUUGCAGCUCUCAGGGAACGUCGAUACUCACCCAUUGAGGGUAGUACGGCGCCACCCACCCCUCCUCCAAGCGAAAGGAUGAAUGAGGGACGUAACUACAAGACAAGAAAGAACCCGAUCGACCCUUGUGGGGAAAGGGCUCGGGGGCUUCCUCGCAUAAAGGGAACCGGCACUGCGUGUAAAGAACACAUAACCUAUCCCUCGAAUACUCCCGACUACAACAAUCAGGGCUAAAAGCAUUGAAGGAAUAACACCAUUUCUCCAAAAGGCUCGGGGGCUACACCCAGUGGGUGCGCUCGCGCGCACCCCCCGAAGGAAAUAAGAAGCUCCAAAACAACAAAAAUUUCCCCUUAAAAGAAAAACCUCUGAAGGAGUGCCUUCACCACUCCAGAGGCUCGGGGGCUACUGUUGGGUACCAUAAAAAUGGAUACCCAAAUUAAAGAGAUAAAAAAAACAAAAAAGAAUAAAAGCAGAACACCCAAGAUCGCCAGGGCUCGGGCGCAGGUUCCGCCUCACCCCACCCCUUGGCCUCAAGCGCAAGAUCUGACUCGCCCGACCCCUUGUCCUCGGGCGCAAGUUCCACCUCGCCCGACCCCUCUUGGGCUCGGGCGCCAAUGCUGCCUCGCCCGAGCCCCCAUCUCAGAGCCAGGCUUCCAACGCAUGGUGGCCGUACACUCAACAUGACGGACGCUAUGAUCCCCAUACCACGGCAGAGCAUGGUAGUGACUGUUCCAACCACCCCGGCC